AACGAACGCUGGCGGCAUGCCUAACACAUGCAAGUCGAACGAGACCUUCGGGUCUAGUGGCGCACGGGUGCGUAACGCGUGGGAACCUGCCCUUAGGUUCGGAAUAACUCCCCGAAAGGGGUGCUAAUACCGGAUAAUGUCUUCGGACCAAAGAUUUAUCGCCGUUGGAUGGGCCCUCGUUGGAUUAGCUAGUUGGUAGGGUAAAAGCCUACCAAGGCGUCGAUCCAUAGCUGGUCUGAGAGGAUGAUCAGCCACACUGGGACUGAGACACGGCCCAGACUGCUACGGGAGGCAGCAGUGGGGAAUAUUGGACAAUGGGCGAAAGCCUGAUCCAGCAAUGCCGCGUGAGUGAUGAAGGCCUUAGGGUUGUAAAGCUCUUUUACCCGGGAUGAUAAUGACAGUACCGGGAGAAUAAGCUCCGGCUAACUCCGUG
RNAcentral lists this ribosomal RNA (433 nucleotides) under uncultured bacterium. Its description in RNAcentral is "partial 16S ribosomal RNA". It matches the Rfam family "Bacterial small subunit ribosomal RNA", at positions 29 to 507 of the family's 1533-position model. The record is from RNAcentral.